This 789-nucleotide ribosomal RNA is filed under the name Methanoculleus sp. enrichment culture clone A5_4. Its description in RNAcentral is "bacterial SSU rRNA". It matches the Rfam family "Archaeal small subunit ribosomal RNA", at positions 85 to 879 of the family's 1478-position model. The record is from RNAcentral. Lineage: Archaea; Methanobacteriati; Methanobacteriota; Methanomicrobia; Methanomicrobiales; Methanomicrobiaceae.
ACUGCUCAGUAACACGUGGAUAACCUGCCCUAAGGAAGGGGAUAACCUCGGGAAACUGAGGAUAAUACCCUAUAGGUUACAGACGCUGGAAUGCCCUGUAACCGAAAGUUCCGGCGCCUUAGGAUGGAUCUGCGGCCGAUUAGGUUGUUGUUGGGGUAACGGCCCAACAAGCCGAUAAUCGGUACGGGUUGUGGGAGCAAGAGCCCGGAGUUGGAUUCUGAGACAUGAAUCCAGGCCCUACGGGGCGCAGCAGGCGCGAAAACUUUACAAUGCGGGAAACCGUGAUAAGGGAACCCCGAGUGCCUGUAUAUGCAGGCUGUCCAGGUGUCUAAAAAACACCUGAAGAAAGGGCCGGGCAAGACCGGUGCCAGCCGCCGCGGUAAUACCGGCGGCUCGAGUGGUGGCCACUUUUAUUGGGCUUAAAGCGUUCGUAGCUGGGUUGUUAAGUCUCUUGGGAAAUCUGACGGCUCAACCGUCAGGCGUCCAAGGGAUACUGGCAAUCUUGGAACCGGGAGAGGUGAGGGGUACUUCGGGGGUAGGAGUGAAAUCCUGUAAUCCUCGAGGGACCACCUGUGGCGAAGGCGCCUCACCAGAACGGCUUCGACAGUGAGGGACGAAAGCUGGGGGAGCAAACCGGAUUAGAUACCCGGGUAGUCCCAGCCGUAAACGAUGCGCGUUAGGUGUGUCGGUGACCACGAGUCACCGAGGUGCCGAAGGGAAACCGUGAAACGUGCCGCCUGGGAAGUACGGUCGCAAGGCUGAAACUUAAAGGAAUUGGCGGGGGAGCAC